This 364-nucleotide non-coding RNA is filed under the name Bacillus infantis NRRL B-14911. RNAcentral's name for it is "cspA thermoregulator". It matches the Rfam family "cspA thermoregulator", at positions 140 to 428 of the family's 428-position model. Lineage: Bacteria; Bacillati; Bacillota; Bacilli; Caryophanales; Bacillaceae. The record is from Rfam by way of RNAcentral.
UAUGAUGAAAAAGAAUUAUUUUUGUUCGGUAUAAGUUAAUUAAUGACUUUUCGUCUAUAUAAAUACUUUGAGCAGGGAUAGUAAUACAUUGUGCGGCAGCACUAGGAGGCAACAAAAAUGGAACAAGGUACAGUUAAAUGGUUUAAUGCAGAAAAAGGUUUCGGCUUCAUCGAACGCGAAGGUGGAGACGAUGUAUUCGUACACUUCUCUGCUAUUCAAAGCGAAGGAUUCAAAUCUUUAGACGAAGGUCAAAAAGUAACAUUUGACGUUGAGCAAGGUGCUCGCGGACCUCAAGCAGCUAACGUUCAAAAAGCUUAAUCUUCGCAUAAUACAGACAGGCCCUAUAUAAAUAGGGCCUGUUUUU